CUCCCGCCCAGUCUCCUCCCCCUGGGAAUGCGCGGGGUGGGUGACAGACCUGGCCGCGCGCCACCGCCACCGCGCCUGCCGGGGGCGCUGCCGCUGCCUGAGAAAGAAGCCGCGGCUGCCGCCUGGAGGAGGUGCCGUCGCCUCCGCCACCGCUGCCGCCGCCGCCAGGGAGAGAAAAUUUACAACUCAGAGGGCCAGUGGUAAAGGAAUAUGGAAGAAAGAACCAAGUUAAAGCAUCUCAGAAGUCAUGUGUCCCAGAUAAGGAGCUACAAGUUGGCAGAAGCACUAUUAGCCUGGACCCUUGAAUGACUGAACGGAGCAGAUUCUCCCCAAUCUUCCUCCUACCCCACUUGCUUGGCAUGUAAUAAUUUGUUGUGUGAAGCCAAAGAGACAUUGAAGUUUGUCUACGACCCCGGGUAGUAGUGUUGCAUAACCUAAAUUAACGUAUUCUCUAAACUACAAUACUUUACAAAUACCUUUCUUAAAUCUCAGUGACUGUGCCAUUGAGGUAAAAGCACUUCCCUUCCCACUAAAUAUCCCACUCCAGCUGACUGCCCACUGGCCAAGGUUGUGACGGAUACACCAGAUAUAUAUCAACUUAUGUUGGAACCUCCCUAUAGUACAUUAGCAAAACUACUGAAGAGACCAAAAGAAUUAAAAAGUGGAUUUGUUUCUCCAUCUGAAUAAAAGCUGCGAAAGCCUGAA
This is a long non-coding RNA of Suricata suricatta (meerkat), 705 nucleotides long. RefSeq lists it as uncharacterized. The record is from RefSeq and is a predicted model, not a curated record. The transcript is spliced from 3 exons. NCBI's taxonomy places the organism in Eukaryota, Metazoa, Chordata, Mammalia, Carnivora, Herpestidae.